UUAACCCUUACUUUGAUAAAGUAAAAGAUCGCUUAUUAAAAAAUUACGACUUGGAUGAAUAGAAAUUAAAUAAAAUUUUAUUUUGUUGACUAAGAGAUUGUCAUAGAUAACGGAUCGAGAUGUAAUUCUCUCACUCUGGCUUACUUUUAAUUUUCGGCGCUGUCUUGUACUGGCUAAUUAGUUAUUGCAUGUUCUGUUGAACUGUUUUUAUGAUCGUGAUUAUAGUAUUUUUGAUAUACUAUUAUGAUCUAACAUCCUACAUGAAAAAAAUACAAUCUUCUAAAUGAGCAUAUAAAGCUCAUGGACAAGUUCGUUUUUAAGGGUGAGUUCUACUUAUGAGUGUUUAUGAAAUACCAUAAAUCAUAGUUAAACAUUGUUAUAUGAUCAUAUUUUAUUGAUCAUUUGUCCAUCGUUACCCCAACUAUAGGUACGAUAUGAAUGGGUUCUGCAAUCGAACCCUCAUUUUCACAUGCAAAUGUCAACUUACAUUUACAAUUAUUGACUCAGGACAUGACCAUCGCAUUAAAUUGUUGGACCAUGUGUGCAUGGAUUUUUUUUUGCUAUAAUUAGUAAAUAGUAAUGGUCAAUCAUAUUAGAAAAAAAUUAUAUACGAACUAAAAGACUAUUUGAAUUAUUUAAAUAUGCAAAAUUAUCAUUCUUAUGUCAAGAAGUUGAACGACUAUUAAUUUGGAAGCCAUCAAUGGUACUUCUAGAAAAAUUUUCGACAUAUUUUCCUUUCACACACACACAUAUACAUACAUAUAUACAUACACACACGCACACACACACUAGGAAUAAAUAAAAUCGGCUCAUUUUACUUGGACUUUUGUUGGCCCAUUAAUAGAGUGGACCAAUUUAGGAGUCCAAAAUAGGUCCAAAUGUCAUUUUAUGCUAUUGACACCCCUCCAUUAAUCUCUUAAAACCCCUUUUCUAAACAGACCCCAUAAAAUAAUUUAAAAUAUUACUUCUAUCAACACCCAAGCAAUUUCUAUGAAUAACCCUGUUCACUUUUGCCUAAAACUCUAUUUAUAUAUCAAAUCUCAAAUAUUACAUGAAUAAAACAAAUUCGUCUCCCUACUCAUUUUCUUUAGUGAGUAAAGCAAAUUUCACAUGAAUAAGGAGACAAAUUGAUAGAAAAAAGCUAUACUGGAAUACAAUUUUGAACUUGAAGCUUGAAGCUCAAUGAAUAAGGUUAUUUGAGAUUUGACAUAUAGAUGCAAUUUUGCACAUUUGAGUUUGAAGCUCACGUGAGUGAAACAAAUUUCAAAUAUGAGUUUGAUGAUUUGGAAAGUUCAUGGCGAUAAAAAAGAAAGCUCAACAUACUAUAUUGGUCGAAAAUAUUUGGGUGGUUUGAUAAGCAAACAAUAAUUUGUUGUAUUGAAUUAUAAACUUAAAAACUAUAUUGCACAUUUGUCAGUUCACAAGUUCGACAUAAAAGUUUUUUUAAUAUGAUAAUUUUGGGGUGAAUGUUCAUAGUAGAUCCUAGUCAUUUUGGAAAAAGUCUGACUAAUAAAUAGUGUGACAAAUGAUAAUAGUUAAUUUUAAGAAAUCACUUUGAAAUUAUAUUACUUGUCAAAACUAGAGACAUUAAGGUGUAAAAAGUUCAUUGGAAUGAGAACAUGAUUUGUAUUCUCUUUUUACACUAUUCUUUUAGUAGGGAUGGCAGGACAUACCCUUUUGAGAUUUUUCCUACUUGAAAAGGGUAUGAAAAUGAUUUUAUACCAAAUUUCUUAUUUAGAUAAGGGACAGAAACAACUUUUUAUCUAAUUUUUUAUUUAAGGAAAGGGAUGGGAAUGAGGUGGAAUCCCUAUCCCCUCCCCAU
This 1822-nucleotide long non-coding RNA is filed under the name Citrus x clementina. RNAcentral's name for it is "Citrus clementina (C. clementina) long non-coding RNA (CCLE_LNC000637)". Lineage: Eukaryota; Viridiplantae; Streptophyta; Magnoliopsida; Sapindales; Rutaceae. The record is from RNAcentral.